Molecule: ribosomal RNA, 1451 nt
Filed under: uncultured organism
Description: SSU rRNA
Rfam family: Bacterial small subunit ribosomal RNA
Source: RNAcentral
UCGGCGUGCCUAAUACAUGCAAGUAGAACGCUGAAGAGAGGAGCUUGCUCUUCUUGGAUGAGUUGCGAACGGGUGAGUAACGCGUAGGUAACCUGCCUUGUAGCGGGGGAUAACUAUUGGAAACGAUAGCUAAUACCGCAUAACAAUGGAUGACACAUGUCAUUUAUUUGAAAGGGGCAAUUGCUCCACUACAAGAUGGACCUGCGUUGUAUUAGCUAGUAGGUGAGGUAACGGCUCACCUAGGCGACGAUACAUAGCCGACCUGAGAGGGUGAUCGGCCACACUGGGACUGAGACACGGCCCAGACUCCUACGGGAGGCAGCAGUAGGGAAUCUUCGGCAAUGGGGGCAACCCUGACCGAGCAACGCCGCGUGAGUGAAGAAGGUUUUCGGAUCGUAAAGCUCUGUUGUAAGUCAAGAACGAGUGUGAGAGUGGAAAGUUCACACUGUGACGGUAGCUUACCAGAAAGGGACGGCUAACUACGUGCCAGCAGCCGCGGUAAUACGUAGGUCCCGAGCGUUGUCCGGAUUUAUUGGGCGUAAAGCGAGCGCAGGCGGUUUGAUAAGUCUGAAGUUAAAGGCUGUGGCUCAACCAUAGUUCGCUUUGGAAACUGUCAAACUUGAGUGCAGAAGGGGAGAGUGGAAUUCCAUGUGUAGCGGUGAAAUGCGUAGAUAUAUGGAGGAACACCGGUGGCGAAAGCGGCUCUCUGGUCUGUAACUGACGCUGAGGCUCGAAAGCGUGGGGAGCGAACAGGAUUAGAUACCCUGGUAGUCCACGCCGUAAACGAUGAGUGCUAGGUGUUGGAUCCUUUCCGGGAUUCAGUGCCGCAGCUAACGCAUUAAGCACUCCGCCUGGGGAGUACGACCGCAAGGUUGAAACUCAAAGGAAUUGACGGGGGCCCGCACAAGCGGUGGAGCAUGUGGUUUAAUUCGAAGCAACGCGAAGAACCUUACCAGGUCUUGACAUCCCGAUGCUAUUUCUAGAGAUAGAAAGUUACUUCGGUACAUCGGUGACAGGUGGUGCAUGGUUGUCGUCAGCUCGUGUCGUGAGAUGUUGGGUUAAGUCCCGCAACGAGCGCAACCCCUAUUGUUAGUUGCCAUCAUUCAGUUGGGCACUCUAGCGAGACUGCCGGUAAUAAACCGGAGGAAGGUGGGGAUGACGUCAAAUCAUCAUGCCCCUUAUGACCUGGGCUACACACGUGCUACAAUGGUUGGUACAACGAGUUGCGAGUCGGUGACGGCAAGCUAAUCUCUUAAAGCCAAUCUCAGUUCGGAUUGUAGGCUGCAACUCGCCUACAUGAAGUCGGAAUCGCUAGUAAUCGCGGAUCAGCACGCCGCGGUGAAUACGUUCCCGGGCCUUGUACACACCGCCCGUCACACCACGAGAGUUUGUAACACCCGAAGUCGGUGAGGUAACCUUUUGGAGCCAGCCGCCUAAGGUGGGAUAGAUGA